CCCACCCGCUCCCAAGAUUCAACUACGAGCUUUUUAACUGCAACAACUUUAAUAUACGCUAUUGGAGCUGGAAUUACCACGGCUGCUGGCACCAGACUUGCCCUCCAAUUGAUCCUCAUUAAAAGAUUUAAAGUGCACUCAUUCCAAUUACAGGGCCUAGAAAGAGUCCUGUAUUGUUAUUUUUCGUCACUACCUCCCCGUAAUUGAACCCUGAUUCCCUGUCACCCGUGGUCACCAUGAUAGGCACAGCGACUACCAUAGAAAGUUGAUAGGGCAGACAUUCGAAUGGGUCAUCGCUGCCACGGGGGGCGUGCGAUUGGCCCGAGGUUAUCCAGAAGCACCAAAGC
This 347-nucleotide long non-coding RNA is filed under the name Homo sapiens (human). RNAcentral describes it as "non-protein coding lnc-GPR39-10:1". The record is from RNAcentral. Lineage: Eukaryota; Metazoa; Chordata; Mammalia; Primates; Hominidae.